CAGUGGCGGACGGGUGAGUAACACGUAGGAACCUGCCCAGAAGUGGGGGAUAACUCCUCGAAAGAGGAGCUAAUACCGCAUAUGGUCCACGGACCAAAGCAGCAAUGCGCUUCUGGAGGGGCCUGCGGCGGAUUAGCUAGUUGGUGGGGUAACGGCCUACCAAGGCAACGAUCCGUAACUGGUCUGAGAGGACGGCCAGUCACACUGGGACUGAGACACGGCCCAGACUCC
This 231-nucleotide ribosomal RNA is filed under the name uncultured bacterium. RNAcentral describes it as "partial 16S ribosomal RNA". It matches the Rfam family "Bacterial small subunit ribosomal RNA", at positions 93 to 339 of the family's 1533-position model. The record is from RNAcentral.